RNAcentral lists this ribosomal RNA (326 nucleotides) under uncultured Bacteroidota bacterium. RNAcentral describes it as "bacterial SSU rRNA". It matches the Rfam family "Bacterial small subunit ribosomal RNA", at positions 28 to 351 of the family's 1533-position model. The record is from RNAcentral. Lineage: Bacteria; Pseudomonadati; Bacteroidota.
GAUGAACGCUAGCGGCAGGCUUAAUACAUGCAAGUCGAACGGCAGCGGGUCCAGCAAUGGAUGCCGGCGAGUGGCGCACGGGUGCGUAACACGUAUGCAACCUACCUUUAACUGGGACAUAACAUUGAGAAAUCGAUGCUAAUAUCCCAUAACAUCCAGAAUUCGCAUGUUUUUUGGAUUAAAGUUCCGGCGGUUAAAGAUGGGCAUGCGCGACAUUAGCUAGUUGGUGAGGUAACGGCUCACCAAGGCUACGAUGUCUAGGGGGUCUGAGAGGAUGAUCCCCCACACUGGUACUGAGACACGGACCAGACUCCUACGGGUGGCAG